AGUGAACGCUGGCGGUAGGCCUAACACAUGCAAGUCGAACGGCAGCACAGUAAGAGCUUGCUCUUACGGGUGGCGAGUGGCGGACGGGUGAGGAAUACAUCGGAAUCUACUUUUUCGUGGGGGAUAACGUAGGGAAACUUACGCUAAUACCGCAUACGACCUACGGGUGAAAGCAGGGGAUCUUCGGACCUUGCGCGAUUCAAUGAGCCGCUGUCGGAUUAGCUAGUUGGCGGGGUAAAGGCCCACCAAGGCGACGAUCCGUAGCUGGUCUGAGAGGAUGAUCAGCCACACUGGAACUGAGACACGGUCCAGACUCCUACGGGAGGCAGCAGUGGGGAAUAUUGGACAAUGGGCGCAAGCCUGAUGCAGCCAUACCGCGUGAGUGAAGAAGGCCUUCGGGUUGUAAAGCCCUUUUGUUGGGAAAGAAAAGCAGCAGGUUAAUACCCCGCUGUUCUGACGGUACCCAAAGAAUAAGCACCGGCUAACUUCGUG
RNAcentral lists this ribosomal RNA (492 nucleotides) under uncultured bacterium. RNAcentral's name for it is "partial 16S ribosomal RNA". It matches the Rfam family "Bacterial small subunit ribosomal RNA", at positions 29 to 507 of the family's 1533-position model. The record is from RNAcentral.